GACGAACGCUGGCGGCGUGCUUAACACAUGCAAGUCGAACGGAAAGGCCCUGCUUUUGUGGGGUGCUCGAGUGGCGAACGGGUGAGUAACACGUGAGUAACCUGCCCUUGACUUUGGGAUAACUUCAGGAAACUGGGGCUAAUACCGGAUAGGAGCUCCUGCUGCAUGGUGGGGGUUGGAAAGUUUCGGCGGUUGGGGAUGGACUCGCGGCUUAUCAGCUUGUUGGUGGGGUAGUGGCUUACCCAGGCUUUGACGGGUAGCCGGCCUGAGAGGGUGACCGGCCACAUUGGGACUGAGAUACGGCCCAGACUCCUACGGGAGGCAGCAGUGGGGAAUAUUGCACAAUGGGCGGAAGCCUGAUGCAGCAACGCCGCGUGCGGGAUGACGGCCUUCGGGUUGUAAACCGCUUUCGCCUGUGACGAAGCGUGAGUGACGGUAAUGGGUAAAGAAGCACCGGCUAACUACGU
This 467-nucleotide ribosomal RNA is filed under the name uncultured bacterium. RNAcentral describes it as "partial 16S ribosomal RNA". It matches the Rfam family "Bacterial small subunit ribosomal RNA", at positions 28 to 506 of the family's 1533-position model. The record is from RNAcentral.